GGCCAAUUCAAAAAGGUUGUCCUUUGCAAACCUUAAACUCUAAACCUUGAACUCUAAGCGUGCAAAGCAUAAUGGGAGCAUAAUUUAAUCAGUUUAGAAAUCAUACAUGGGGUCCAUUUCUUAGAGACAUGGUAAAUAUUUCCUUACGAGAACAAUUCAUUCACAAAUAGCUGCAAUAUUCUACUACUAAGCUUGAAACUUGUGCUCCCAUUAAGCUUUACUCGCUUAGAGUUUAAAGUUUAAGGUUUAGAGUUUAAGACCCCGUUUAUACGGUACCGAACGUAUUUGGGACCGGUCUGAAUUUCGUCCUUUUUCGCCUGUUU
Paramuricea clavata is the source of this 323-nucleotide non-coding RNA. The record is from the annotation of a GenBank genome assembly. NCBI's taxonomy places the organism in Eukaryota, Metazoa, Cnidaria, Anthozoa, Malacalcyonacea, Plexauridae.